Long non-coding RNA from Mercurialis annua (annual mercury), 878 nucleotides. RefSeq lists it as uncharacterized. NCBI's taxonomy places the organism in Eukaryota, Viridiplantae, Streptophyta, Magnoliopsida, Malpighiales, Euphorbiaceae. The record is from RefSeq and is a predicted model, not a curated record. The transcript has 4 exons.
AUGAGGGACUUUUUCAGACCUUUUAUUGGCUCACCAUGAUUGAAGUUAAGAAACCGCCGAGGGUCGAAGAGAAGAAACUGCCGUGAGAGGUGGCAAAGCUGACCUUUUGUGAUCCAUUGCCUCCGCUGAUUACAUUAAGUGGCAACAGGUUGCAUCAGUUACUGAUGAUGUCUCUUAACUUCACUUGGAAACAAAAAAAUAGAACGUAAAAUGCCGGAAUCUGUGUGCUUAGGUCUCAGGUGCUAUGAUGUCUUGCUAUCCGGGUUACAUAUGAAGCCGUUCUUAAGUUGAUGCAAGAGAGGAUAAACUAAUGGUUGCAUUCCGAUGACAUAAUUUAUGGUAUUGGUAGUGGCCAAUGUGUUACUCGAUCUUUUGAUGACGACGAUUUCAAUAUUUAUUGGAUUGUCGGUCAUCAGCCGAACACAAAUGUGAAACAAGGUGGUGCCAUCAAGAUUGUGAAAUUAUUUGUUUGCAACACAGGAGAACUAGUAGCUGCCUAGCCACGCAUCGUCAGAAAACCUAGAGCAGUUGCAACCUGAUGAUUUUCCCUUUUGAUGUUUAUCUGCUGCUGUUGCGAUUUCCUGCUGCUGAUGGUGUUAUGAUUUCCUGCUGCUGACGAUCGUUCCUUUUGUUGCUGAUUAUUUCUGCUGCUUUGACCAUGUGCUGGAUCUACUGGCUCGAUCUGAUUGGUACCAAGCAGUAUGCUCUCCACAAGCAGAGAGUUGCAAUUUUAGAUUUUGAGUAUUCAAAGAUUUAUGAUCAAAUUCGCACAUAGUUUGUACUAAAUUUAUUCUUUAGGCUGUGUUUUUAAAGUUUCUUUAAAUUUGUAAUCGAUAACUAUAAUUUUCUUUUUAAUAUUAUUGUUGUUUGCGAGAAAA